Non-coding RNA from Caenorhabditis elegans, 199 nucleotides. The record is from Ensembl. Lineage: Eukaryota; Metazoa; Nematoda; Chromadorea; Rhabditida; Rhabditidae.
CAACAUCUUUUGGAAAAGCAACUAAACUUUUCAACUUAAAUUAGACAGACACCUUCUGUCUUGGGUGACUCAAAAUAUGUCGUAGUUUGAUCUGUUUUCCUAGACAACGUCUAGAAGCAAUAUGCUCUUAGAUCUUAAGUGAUAUCUAGAUACAGGAAGUUUGAAAUUUGUGCUAUUUUUUGAAUAUGCUGUUCUGCCA